Molecule: ribosomal RNA, 443 nt
Filed under: uncultured bacterium
Lineage: Bacteria
Description: partial 16S ribosomal RNA
Rfam family: Bacterial small subunit ribosomal RNA
Source: RNAcentral
CCUACGGGAGGCAGCAGUGGGGAAUAUUGGGCAAUGGAGGAAACUCUGACCCAGCAACGCCGCGUGAAUGAUGAAGGUCUUCGGAUUGUAAAGUUCUUUUCUAAGGGAAGAAGAAAGUGACGGUACCUUAGGAAUAAGCCUCGGCUAACUACGUGCCAGCAGCCGCGGUAAUACGUAGGAGGCAAGAGUUAUCCGGAAUGACUGGGCGUAAGGGGUGCGUAGGUGGUUUGACAAGGUGGUAGGGUAAAUCCGGGGCCCAACCUCGGCACUACUACCAAAACUGUCGGACUUGAGUGCAGGAGGGGCAAAUGGAAUGCCUAGUGUAGCGGUGGAAUGCGUAGAUAUUAGGAGGAACACCAGUGGCGAAGGCGAUUUGCUGGACUGUAACUGACACUGAGGCACGAAAGCGUGGGGAGCAAACAGGAUUAGAUACCCGGGUAGUC